GGAGGGUGCAAGCGUUGUUCGGAAUUACUGGGCGUAAAGGGCGUGUAGGCGGACCAAGUAGUUGGGUGUGAAAGCCCUGGGCUCAACCCAGGAAGUGCGCCCGAAACCAUUGGUCUAGAGAUUCGGAGGGGAGCGGGGAAUUCCCAGUGUAGAGGUGAAAUUCGUAGAUAUUGGGAGGAACACCGGUGCCGAAGGGGCCGCUCUGGACGAAUACUGACGCUGAGACGCGAAAGCGUGGGUAGCAAACAGGAUUAGAUACCCUGGGUAGUCCACGCUGUAAACGAUGUGCACUAGGUGUCGGGGGUAUUGACCCCCCCCCCCCGGUGCCCGCCGCUAACGCAUUAAGUGCACCGCCUGGGAAGUACGGUCGCAAGGCUG
Molecule: ribosomal RNA, 378 nt
Filed under: uncultured organism
Description: partial 16S ribosomal RNA
Rfam family: Bacterial small subunit ribosomal RNA
Source: RNAcentral